Small nuclear RNA from Gavia stellata (red-throated loon), 105 nucleotides. The record is from Rfam. Lineage: Eukaryota; Metazoa; Chordata; Aves; Gaviiformes; Gaviidae.
AUUCUCUUUGGCAGCAUGUAUACUAAAAUUUUAAUGAUACAGAGAAGAUUAACAUGGCACCUGCACAAGUUGGCUUGGGGGUGGUGGGAAGGGUCCCCAGUACAG